This 881-nucleotide ribosomal RNA is filed under the name uncultured bacterium. Its description in RNAcentral is "bacterial SSU rRNA". It matches the Rfam family "Bacterial small subunit ribosomal RNA", at positions 31 to 896 of the family's 1533-position model. The record is from RNAcentral.
GAACGCUGGCGGCGUGCUUAACACAUGCAAGUCGAACGGAAAGGCCUGCUUUCCCUUGUGGAUUGCGGGUACUCGAGUGGCGAACGGGUGAGUAACACGUGAGUGAUCUGCCCCCAACUUGGGUAUAAGCCUGGGAAACUGGGUCUAAUUCCCGAUAGGACUGCAGGGUGGUGCCUGUGGUGGAAAACGAUUUUCUAGUGGUUGGGGAUGAGCUCGCGGCCUAUCAGCUUGUUGGUGGGGUAAUGGCCUACCAAGGCGGCGACGGGUAGCCGGCCUGAGAGGGUGGACGGCCACAUUGGGACUGAGAUACGGCCCAGACUCCUACGGGAGGCAGCAGUGGGGAAUAUUGCACAAUGGGCGGAAGCCUGAUGCAGCGACGCCGCGUGGGGGAUGACGGCCUUCGGGUUGUAAACUCCUUUCGACCGCGAGGAAGCCACCUGGUUGGAAGGGUGGUGACGGUAGUGGUAGAAGAAGCACCGGCUAACUACGUGCCAGCAGCCGCGGUAAUACGUAGGGUGCGAGCGUUGUCCGGAUUUACUGGGCGUAAAGAGCUCGUAGGUGGCUUGUCGCGUCGUCUGUGAAAGUCUGGGGCUUAACUCCGGGUGUGCAGGCGAUACGGGCUGGCUUGAGUGCUGUAGGGGAGACUGGAAUUCCUGGUGUAGCGGUGGAAUGCGCAGAUAUCAGGAGGAACACCGAUGGCGAAGGCAGGUCUCUGGGCAGCCACUGACGCUGAGGAGCGAGAGCAUGGGUAGCGAACAGGAUUAGAUACCCUGGUAGUCCAUGCUGUAAACGGUGGGCGCUAGGUGUGGGGACUUUCCAUGGUUUCCGUGUCGUAGCUAACGCGUUAAGCGCCCCGCCUGGGGAGUACGGCCGCAAGGCUA